UGAGGAAUAUUGGUCAAUGGGCGAGAGCCUGAACCAGCAACGUCGCGUGAAGGAAGAAGGUUCUAUGGAUUGUAAACUUCUUUUGUAAGGGAAUAAAAAGAGUUACGUGUAACUUAUUGUAUGUACUUUACGAAUAAGGAUCGGCUAACUCCGUGCAAGCAGCCGCGGUAAUACGGAGGAUCCAAGCGUUAUCCGGAUGUAUUGGGUUUAAAGGGUGCGUAGGCGGGUGUUUAAGUCAGUGGUGAAAGUUUGCAGCUCAACUGUAAAAUUGCCAUUGAAACUGGAGACCUUGAGUGUAAAUGAGGUAGGCGGAAUGUGUGGUGUAGCGGUGAAAUGCUGAGAUAUAACACAGAACACCAAUUGCGAAGGCAGCUUACUGGGCUACAACUGACGCUGAGGCACGAAAGCGUGGGGAUCAAACA
Molecule: ribosomal RNA, 422 nt
Filed under: uncultured prokaryote
Description: bacterial SSU rRNA
Rfam family: Bacterial small subunit ribosomal RNA
Source: RNAcentral